UGCUGGGAUUACAGGUGUGAGCCACCAUGCCCACCCCAAUUACUGAACUAAUGUUGAUACAUUAUUAUUAACUAAAGCGCAUACUUUAUUCUGACUUAUUUUUUGCUCAAUGUCCUUCUCUUCCAGGGUCCAGGAGGCCACAUUACAUUUAGUCAUCCUGUCUUCUUCAAUUCCCCUUAUCUACGAGUUUCUCAGACUUUGUUUUUGAAGACUUUGGAAGUUUUGAAGAGUGUUGCUCAAGUAUUUUAUAGCUAUGCCUCAACUGGGGCAUAUCUGAUGUUUUGCUAUGGUUAGGGGCAGACCCAGACGUGCCAUUCCACAUUCUUUCCUACCAUGAGGACCCCGACUCAGACAAGCACUGGAGGGCAAACAAACGAAACCAGCAUUCUUUGAGUUUUCCAAUCAUGCAUGUUUAAACCAUCUUGUUCGUCUGAGGGCAAGAAUCCAGAAAAGUAUAAAUUAAGCAGAUAAUAAGAAAGCAAAACUGCCAGCGAUCUCCGCCCUUUGUAUGGAAAGUGCCGUAUUUCAGCCUUCGAAGCGCAGUGUCAUUUCAGAGCGGCUGAAGGUCUUCUCCUGGCUCCUCAAGACAUCCUUACAUCAGAACCCCUUAUAAAUUCCCAGAAGACUCAUAAAGAAAUGAAAUCCUCCCUUCUGAAUCUGGUUAGCAUGUUAAUAUUUACUGAAUGUAUUUUCCCAAAUUAGUUUCUCUAUUGACUGGUUGCUUCCAUGAGAAUGAAAGAACUUCCUAAAGGAAAUGGACUUGCGUAUAUAUGAAAAGCAAUAGAAGGACCAUAUGGUUUCAAUGAACUUCUUUGGAAGUUGUUAUGAUUUUGUCUUGCUGAUGUCCUUUUGCUCUGUUACUGGGAAAGAGAGCUAUGUUUCUGAGCAGUGCUUGAUGAUGGAAGAAAGGGGGCAGGUCCUUGUGGGGCACAAUCCUGCAAUUUCUCCCUUGUGAAGUGGUGCAUGGUAACCUACAAAUGACUCUCAAGUGUCUGCACUUGGUGGACUCAUGUGUAACCAUAUCAGAUUAGAUCAAACACAGUGGUCGUUAAGAGUCCCAUCGAGCAAGAUGACAGUGAAAAUUACACAGCAAGGACUGACGUAACUUUCCAAGAGUGAGCUGAGGGACGCUGCGUGGGAGCGUGUCUUUGUAUCUGGAAAAGGAAAAGAAAACUGCAUUCAUUUUUGAUGAUGGAUUUGGUCACGUACAAAAGGCAAGGGCACAAUUUGAAAAGAACAAGAUGGCUUUCCUAAAACAACAGCUGGAAACACUUUGCAGCAGCUGCUGAUAUAAAUAAUUCACUGUUAAUUGAUUCUGAGGCCAGUCCUGAAACUGGCAAGCCAAGUUGCAUGACAGGAAGGUGCACCAUGGAAAGUGAUAAUGGCAUGGAUAUUUAUUCCCAUUCACCCUUGCAUGGGAUAAGGAAGAGGCCAGCCACACUCCUUUUGAUUCAUUUGUGAGUCAGCCCUGGAAGCAUCUUUAAAGCAGCAGCUCCCGUUGUGCCCUUCAGUUCCUGGAUGAAGACGGAGAUGCCAGUGUUUAACAAUGACUUACUUCUUUUAUAUUUCCCUUUCACUGAAAGUUUCUGAGUUGACAUCCACUUGCCACUGGAGUGUUCAGGGGAUAUUAUGAGAUUAGCAGCAUAAGAAGGUGGCUAAAGGAGCAUUUGACCUCUGGCUUCAAACCCAUAUGGGGGCUCCCUUGUGAACGUGCAACUUUAUCUCAAAAUCAGUCCUUAUACCUGAGUGUGUAAUUGGUGUUUUAAUAGUAAGCAUUAAAAUACAAAAAUUUAUGUAUGCUUGCUUUAUUUUUUCACAUACAAAUAGAAAUAAAGUAUACAUGGACAUA
Macaca mulatta (Rhesus monkey) is the source of this 1849-nucleotide non-coding RNA. The record is from RefSeq and is a predicted model, not a curated record. Lineage: Eukaryota; Metazoa; Chordata; Mammalia; Primates; Cercopithecidae.